UGGAGGAGUUAGAUGACUCAUUCAUUCCAGAAAUAGUUUUGAGCAUUUGCUCUGCAUCAGACCCGGUGCCACGUACCAUGGGUGCAAAGGGGAGCAGCAUAGGUAAGAUCUGUGCCUUCCGAAGAGGGUAGAGUCUUCUGGAGGGACAUUACAAAUAAUCAGGCACUCCCAGUGCUGGGAGCUAAGUUCUGUUACAGGGAAGAGAAAGAAACAAUGGGAAUACCAAGGAGGAUAUUUACAGAGGGGGAAGGCUUUGAGCUGAAAUUGAACGGUGAAUAAAGGCUGAGCAGCCAUGUAGAGACGGGGUUCCACCGUGUUAGCCAGGAUGGUCUCGAUUUCCUGACCUCGUCAUCCUCCCGCCUUGGCCUCCCAAAGUGCUGGGAUUACAGGCUUGAGCCACCGCGCCCCGCUCUUUCGUGUUCCAAAGGCUUUUUAAAUAAACUUCCACUCCUGUCCUGGAUUCUGCUUUAUGGCCCUCAGUCGAAUUCUUUCUUCUGAGGAGGCAAGGACUGAAGUUGCUUCUGACCAGUACAGGAGAAAACGAAUACAGCAGGGAUGACUUCCACCAGCUCCACUUUGCAGCUCUGAGGUGUAUUAAAAAUGACCUGGAAGAAGUCAUGCCACGGGCCAGACCUUAACAUUCCUUUCGGCUUACCCCAGGAUUUCAGACAAAGCUUCACUUUCCUAACCAGUCACAAAUCAGAGAAUUUUUGAUUCCACCUAUGACCUGUGAGCUCCUGCUUCAAGAUAUUCCACCUUUUUUAGGCCAAACCAAUGUAUAACCUCCAAGUGUCGAUUUACACUUUCGACUGUAACUUCUGCUUUCCUGAGAUUUACCCCUGCCUUUAAAAACCCUUGCUUGUAAUCCCUCAGGGAGGCCGUGUAUUUAUUAAUCAUGAGCUGCCCAAUUCUCCUUGCUUGGUGCCCUGCAAAUAAACACCCUCUUUUCUCCCA
This 954-nucleotide long non-coding RNA is filed under the name Homo sapiens (human). RNAcentral's name for it is "HSALNT0345064". Lineage: Eukaryota; Metazoa; Chordata; Mammalia; Primates; Hominidae. The record is from RNAcentral.